UCUUUUCCUAGCGGAAAUGCCGCCGGUAGGUACAUGGCCUCCACUGAAAAGUAAUCGGAGAAUUUCAAUUUGACCAGAGAAAUUACCGACGGAAUUAAUCCCUCGGUAUUUUCUAAAAAUAUAUUUUUCUUUUUCAUUUUUUUUGAUAUUCCUAGUUAUCGACUACCUAUACAAUUACAACCAACACACUCUCAAAAUUCAACAAUUCAGAUUUUAAUAGAUCAUUCAAUCUAGACUAAAAUCAAUACAUGAACAUAACAAGUAUUUUACAAAGUUCAAACAUAUAAAUAUCUUACAAAGCUCCAACACAUAAAUAAAAUACAGAGUUUAAAAGUAUCACCGUCUAUUACAUUCAUCCACGAAAAUUAGAGAGGUGGUGGGAGAGGGGUGGAAGGCUACACCGUGCACAAAACUACACAAGAAACUCAUGUUGAGCAAGUAGGUGAGCUUUUGUACGCCCUGAUUCCUCUUUCAUUCACUCAAACUCUUGCCUGCACUCCUCUCGCUCCUGGUACAACUCAUCCUGCAGACCUACGAAACGCUGAUCAUAAGACGUGGAGUGAAAUUGAGAUGAUCCGCUCGAACCAUCAAUUACUAUACAUUUUUCUUGUAGUGCAUUAUAUUAAAUCACGAUGCACAAUUUCUGUCAGCCAGAUUAAAAAAUCUGACUUCUAGAUCAUUACAUCAUCAGACCAAGCGGUACAAUUCGAUAAACAAUGAGUGGCGCAAUUUGCCUCUCGCCAAACAUGACAAAACUCGAUAACAACACUCUCUUUAAUUUGCACAAAGGCCUCGUAUAACUCAUCGCACAAAGAAUCCAUACCAUUAUACCCUUACGACAUACUUGCCACGUAAAUUCUCUCUGACCAGUGAAUUUGAGACCAAGACAGAGACAAAAUUUCCGUCGCUAUGAAUUUAAAUUAUUUUUGUAUUUUUUUAGUAAUUUUGCAACAGAAUUUUUCCAUCAUUACUUUUAAAAUUUAUUUUUAUAAUUUUUAAAUUACACGUUGAGACGGAUUCUAUCCGUUGUUAGAUUUUAAAGAUGGAAAUUUCUCUUAGAAAUCGUCGUAAAAUACCACCUUUAUCGAAUUCAAAUUUCCAUCGUAAGUCUGUCAUAAUGAACGAUCCGUUUUAUUUUUCCGUCUCUAAUUCCGUCCAUAGUAACGUUUUUUUAUAAUGAGAUUUUUUAUAAUUCUAAAAGUUUAAUUGGGUGUAAUUAAUUAUACAUUUAUAAUAAUUAAAACCAUAGAUUUAUGAUUGAAAUUUAUUAAGAUUAUAUACCCUUUUGGAGAAAUUAGUUCCAAUAAUCAAUUAUUAAGUCAAAAAUGAAAAAAUAAAUAUAAAAAAAUUAUAAACUCUGGAGUGGAAUUAAUGAGCCCUAGUUAAUUAUUUUAAAAUUAUACUAAAUCAUAAUAUAUCCAAAGAUUCAAAAUUAGGAUGAUCCCAUGUGCUUACAAUAUAAAAGUUGCUACAUUUUUUACCAUACAUUAAUUGACGAUAGAUCUAUUCUUUCAUCAGUUAAAAUUCUCUAUUGUCUUUUAGCGUGACAUCUCAUAGUAUUAUAUUUGUGGAUUAUUGGCAUAUAUGACAAUAUUAAAGGUUCAGAAUUUAUGAUUUUAUAAAUAUAGAAAAUAUACACCCCAAUAUUCAGCAAUUUUAAACAUUUAAAAGCGUGUACUUUGCAUAAUUGGUAAGAUAUAUGAUUGCAUAUUUUUAUCCUUAAAAUUGUAUUUUCUUCAAUCUCACCUUGAGAUAUUAAAUAUUUAUUUAAAUAUUAAAAUAAAUUUCAACUGACCAAGUACCAAUUGAGAAGUGGCAUAAAAAAGUUAAAGGCUAACCUUGUGGUUGGGUAUUGGUGUGUGGGCUGCCGUAGGGCAUUAUCUUCUUUUUUUUCUUCAUUAAAUGAAACUCCAGUGGGGCUCUACCGUUGGGCUCGAGCCCUACCGCUAGCGUUGACGUUCUCCUAGCGCGCCUGGGCAGCUCGAGGCGAGCUCCAAAAUUAGAGUCAGACUUUAAG
Molecule: long non-coding RNA, 2017 nt
Filed under: Salvia miltiorrhiza (redroot sage)
Lineage: Eukaryota; Viridiplantae; Streptophyta; Magnoliopsida; Lamiales; Lamiaceae
Description: long non-coding RNA (SMIL_LNC007086)
Source: RNAcentral